ACGCGAGGAUCCACUCAAGACUGAGGCCCGCCCAGGAUUCUCCCACGGGCUCAGGCUCGCACGCUCCCACUUAGGAUUGGCGGAUGAAGUUCAAAGGCGUGUGUUGCCUGUGCAACUCCAGUUGAUCAUGCAUCCCCGUUUGUCCAGGAUGGUGCCAUUUUCAUCUGUUGUCCUGGAGUGAUUAUUAAUAACACGCCCUUUCACUGUACAAACUGUUCCAUUUGGAUGUCAAAUCAUAUGGUCACCUAUCUUCAUAUGUAAUUGUAUUAAUUACCCAUGUAUCCUUAUAGAAUUUCUUUCUGCAAAUAAAUAUGUGUUUAUCAUUA
Long non-coding RNA from Felis catus (domestic cat), 326 nucleotides. RefSeq lists it as uncharacterized. The transcript has 2 exons. The record is from RefSeq and is a predicted model, not a curated record. NCBI's taxonomy places the organism in Eukaryota, Metazoa, Chordata, Mammalia, Carnivora, Felidae.